RNAcentral lists this ribosomal RNA (446 nucleotides) under uncultured bacterium. RNAcentral describes it as "bacterial SSU rRNA". It matches the Rfam family "Bacterial small subunit ribosomal RNA", at positions 330 to 792 of the family's 1533-position model. The record is from RNAcentral.
UCCAGACUCCUACGGGAGGCAGCAGUGGGGAAUAUUGCACAAUGGGGGAAACCCUGAUGCAGCGACGCCGCGUGAGUGAAGAAGUAUUUCGGUAUGUAAAGCUCUCUCAGCAGGGAAGAAGAAAGACGGUACCUGACUAAGAAGCCCCGGCUAACUACGUGCCAGCAGCCGCGGUAAUACGUAGGGGGCAAGCGUUAUCCGGAUUUACUGGGUGUAAAGGGAGCGUAGACGGCGACGCAAGUCUGAAGUGAAAUGCCAGUGCUCAACACUGGAACUGCUUUGGAAACUGUGUGGCUAGAGUGCAGGAGAGGUAAGUGGAAUUCCUAGUGUAGCGGUGAAAUGCGUAGAUAUUAGGAGGAACACCAGUGGCGAAGGCGACUUUCUGGACAGUAACUGACGUUGAGGCACGAAAGUGUGGGGAGCAAACAGGAUUAGAUACCCUGUAA